This 409-nucleotide ribosomal RNA is filed under the name uncultured Glomus. RNAcentral describes it as "SSU rRNA". It matches the Rfam family "Eukaryotic small subunit ribosomal RNA", at positions 780 to 1187 of the family's 1831-position model. The record is from RNAcentral. Lineage: Eukaryota; Fungi; Glomeromycota; Glomeromycetes; Glomerales; Glomeraceae.
GCAGGCCAACGCUUGAAUACAUUAGCAUGGAAUAAUGAAAUAGGACAUCCGAUUCUAUUUUGUUGGUUUCUAGGAUCGAUGUAAUGAUUAAUAGGGAUAGUUGGGGGCAUUAGUAUUCAAUUGUCAGAGGUGAAAUUCUUGGAUUUAUUGAAGACUAACUACUGCGAAGGCAUUUGCCAAGGAUGUUUUCAUUAAUCAAGAACGAAAGUUAGGGGAUCGAAGACGAUCAGAUACCGUCGUAGUCUUAACCAUAAACUAUGCCGACUAGGGAUCGGAUGAUGCUUAUUUUUUAAUGACUCAUUCGGCGCCUUACGGGAAACCAAAGUGUUUGGGUUCCGGGGGGAGUAUGGUCGCAAGGCUGAAACUUAAAGGAAUUGACGGAAGGGCACCACCAGGGGUGGAGCCUGCG